RNAcentral lists this long non-coding RNA (247 nucleotides) under Carica papaya (papaya). Its description in RNAcentral is "long non-coding RNA (CPAP_LNC007492)". Lineage: Eukaryota; Viridiplantae; Streptophyta; Magnoliopsida; Brassicales; Caricaceae. The record is from RNAcentral.
GCACUGGUGGCUAGGGUUUCUUUGGUCAUGUGUGGGUGGGGGUAUUUAUACCCUUCGCCUUUUAAUCUUGACCGUCCAUCAAGAUUGAAUCUGUACCGUUCAUCGCGAUGCAAUCUUGGCCGUCCGUAUGCGUGAAUCUGGGCUGUCCGUGCGUGCGGGAACGGAUCUGGGCUGUCCGAUCGCGCGCACGCGGAUCGCCCUCGUGGCCCGUCCCCUGGCCAGCGUGUCCUUGCCAUGCGGCACAUCC